Molecule: unclassified non-coding RNA, 148 nt
Organism: Callithrix jacchus (white-tufted-ear marmoset)
Lineage: Eukaryota; Metazoa; Chordata; Mammalia; Primates; Cebidae
Rfam family: Metazoan signal recognition particle RNA
About the family: The signal recognition particle (SRP) is a universally conserved ribonucleoprotein. It is involved in the co-translational targeting of proteins to membranes. The eukaryotic SRP consists of a 300-nucleotide 7S RNA and six proteins: SRPs 72, 68, 54, 19, 14, and 9.
Source: Ensembl
GCCGGGCAUGGUGGUGCAUGCCUGUAAUCCCAGCUACCUGGGAGGCUGAGGCAUGAGACUCACUUGAACCCAGGAGGCAAAGGUUGCAGUGAGCCAAGAUCAUGCCACUGCACUCUAGCCUGGGUGACAGAGUGAGACUCUGCCUCAA